This 468-nucleotide ribosomal RNA is filed under the name uncultured bacterium. RNAcentral's name for it is "partial 16S ribosomal RNA". It matches the Rfam family "Bacterial small subunit ribosomal RNA", at positions 28 to 507 of the family's 1533-position model. The record is from RNAcentral.
GACGAACGCUGGCGGCGUGCUUAACACAUGCAAGUCGAACGGAAAGGCCCUGCUUUUGUGGGGUGCUCGAGUGGCGAACGGGUGAGUAACACGUGAGUAACCUGCCCUAGACUUUGGGAUAACUUCAGGAAACUGGGGCUAAUACCGGAUCGGAGCUCCUGCUGCAUGGUGGGGGUUGGAAAGUUUAGGCGGUUGGGGAUGGACUCGCGGCUUAUCAGCUUGUUGGUGGGGUAGUGGCUUACCCAGGAUUUGACGGGUAGCCGGCCUGAGAGGUUGACCGGCCACAUGGGGACUAAGAUAGGGCCCAGACGCCUACGGGAGGCAGCAGUGGGAAAUAUGGCACAAUGAGCGGAAGCCGGAUGCAGCAGCGCCGCGUGCGUGAUGACGGCCUGCGGGGUGUAAACCGCUUUCGCCUGUUACGAAGCGUGAGUGACGGUAAUGGGUAAAGAAGCACCGGCUAACUACGUG